CUAGUUCAACACUGAGGUGGUGGU
This 24-nucleotide non-coding RNA is filed under the name Arabidopsis thaliana (thale cress). Lineage: Eukaryota; Viridiplantae; Streptophyta; Magnoliopsida; Brassicales; Brassicaceae. The record is from RNAcentral.